AAUGAAUUCUCAGUCCCAAAACCAAAGUAUCGGGGAGAUCUCUCAAAUGAUUGUAAGUGGUAGAGUUGUUCAUCCAGAGUUUGAGAUUACUGGCCAUGGAGGUGAUGAUUCGAACAUAGAAGAUGUAGAGAAUGGAGCUAGUGAACAAAUUAAUCAAGUGCACCAACUCCCUGCUAUUGAUUAAAACACAAGUACUGCAAAUCAGGGAAUAUUGAAGGUGCAUGGAGCAAGAAUGGAGUAGCAGCAGAUGAGGAGCAAUCUGAAGCAUUGGCCGCCUACGAAGAAAUUAAGUGGGAAAGGAAUUCCAAUAUUCAGCAUUUGCACCUAGAGGGUGAUUCUCUUAAUGUAGUGAAGGCAAUAAAUGGUGUAAUAGGCACUGUAGGAUGGACUAAUAAUGCCAUCAUUCUAUAACUGUUUAAUUUCCUCAAGUCUUUUGUUAGUUGGGAGUGCACACAUGUAGUGAAGGCAAUAAAUGGUGUAAUAAGCACUGUAUGAUAGACUAAUAAUGCCAUCAUUAUAUAACUGUUUAAUUUCCUCAA
Papaver somniferum (opium poppy) is the source of this 539-nucleotide long non-coding RNA. RefSeq lists it as uncharacterized. NCBI's taxonomy places the organism in Eukaryota, Viridiplantae, Streptophyta, Magnoliopsida, Ranunculales, Papaveraceae. The transcript is spliced from 2 exons. The record is from RefSeq and is a predicted model, not a curated record.